GUCCACGCCGUAAACGAUGAUAACUAGCUGUCCGGGCACUUGGUGCCUGGGUGGCGCAGCUAACGCAUUAAGUUAUCCGCCUGGGGAGUACGGUCGCAAGAUUAAAACUCAAAGGAAUUGACGGGUGCCUGCACAAGCGGUGGAGCAUGUUGUUUAAUUCGAAGCAACGCGCAGAACCUUACCAGCGUUUGACAUGCCUAGUUUGGUUUCCAGAGAUGGAUUCCUUCAGUUCGGCUGGCUAGGACACAGGUGCUGCAUGGCUGUCGU
This 267-nucleotide ribosomal RNA is filed under the name uncultured bacterium. RNAcentral describes it as "partial 16S ribosomal RNA". It matches the Rfam family "Bacterial small subunit ribosomal RNA", at positions 793 to 1055 of the family's 1533-position model. The record is from RNAcentral.